UACGGAGGGGGUUAGCGUUGUUCGGAUUUACUGGGCGUAAAGCGUGCGCAGGCGGUGAUGUAAGACAGGUGUGAAAUCCCAGGGCUUAACCUUGGAACUGCAUUUGUGACUGCAUCGCUAGAGUACGGUAGAGGGGGAUGGAAUUCCGCGUGUAGCAGUGAAAUGCGUAGAUAUGCGGAGGAACACCGAUGGCGAAGGCAAUCCCCUGGAUCUGUACUGACGCUCAUGCACGAAAGCGUGGGGAGCAAACAGG
RNAcentral lists this ribosomal RNA (253 nucleotides) under uncultured bacterium. RNAcentral describes it as "partial 16S ribosomal RNA". It matches the Rfam family "Bacterial small subunit ribosomal RNA", at positions 524 to 776 of the family's 1533-position model. The record is from RNAcentral.